Molecule: ribosomal RNA, 502 nt
Filed under: uncultured bacterium
Lineage: Bacteria
Description: bacterial SSU rRNA
Rfam family: Bacterial small subunit ribosomal RNA
Source: RNAcentral
AAUGAACGUUGGCGGCGUGGAUUAGGCAUGCAAGUCGUACGCACAGCUUCGGCUGUGAGUGGCGCAAGGGUGAGUAAUGCGAAGGUAACCAACCCUGGUGUUGGGCAUAACCGCGGGAAACUGCGGGUAAUUCCCAGCGACGUCGCGAGAUGGCAUCAUCUUGCGACCAAAGGUGUGAUUCCGCUCUAGGACGGGCCUUCGUGGUAUUAGGUAGUUGGUGAGGUAACGGCUCACCAAGCCGACGAUGCCUACCGGGUGUGAGAGCAUGACCCGGCACACUGGAACUGAGACACUGUCCAGACACCUACGGGUGGCUGCAGUCGAGAAUCUUCGGCAAUGGGCGAAAGCCUGACCGAGCGACGCCGCGUGAGGGAAGAAGGCCUUCGGGUUGUAAACCUCUUUCGUAGAGGAGGAAGGGGCCGUGGCAGAGCGGUCUUUGACCUAUUCUAGGAAGAAGCUUGGGCUAAGUUCGUGCCAGCAGCCGCGGUAAAGAGUAGUACAC